AACGAACGCUGGCGGCGUGGAUAAGACAUGCAAGUCGAACGGGACUAAAUCUGUAGCAAUACAGGUUUAGUUUAGUGGCGAACGGGUGCGUAACACGUGGGCAAUCUGCCGAGAAGUGGGGGAUAGCUCGCCGAAAGGACGAAUUAAUACCGCAUAUGAUCAGCUAAGACAUCUUAGCGACAUCAAAGCCGGGGCGAACCUGGCGCUUCUUGAUGAGCCCGCGGCCUAUCAGCUAGUUGGUGAGGUAACGGCUCACCAAGGCUAUGACGGGUAGCUGGUCUGAGAGGACGACCAGUCACACUGGAACUGAGACACGGUCCAGACACCUACGGGUGGCAGCAGUCGAG
Molecule: ribosomal RNA, 347 nt
Filed under: uncultured bacterium
Lineage: Bacteria
Description: bacterial SSU rRNA
Rfam family: Bacterial small subunit ribosomal RNA
Source: RNAcentral